RNAcentral lists this ribosomal RNA (1501 nucleotides) under uncultured rumen bacterium. Its description in RNAcentral is "bacterial SSU rRNA". It matches the Rfam family "Bacterial small subunit ribosomal RNA". The record is from RNAcentral.
AGAGUUUGAUCAUGGCGAUUAAAGAUAGAACGCUAGCUACAGGCUUAACACAUGCAAGUCGACGGUGGCAGCACGACGAGUGCUUGCACUUGUUGAUGGCGACCGGCGCACGGGUGCGUAACGCGUAUCGAACCUUCCCCUUACUCGGGAAUAGCCCGGUGAAAACCGAAUUAAUGCCCGAUAUAUAUUUAGAUGGCAUCAGAAGAGUAUGAAAGAUUUAUCGGUAAGGGAUGGCGAUGCGUAGGAUUAGGUAGUCGGCGGGGUAACGGCCCACCGAGCCUACGAUCCUUAGGGGUUCUGAGAGGAAGGUCCCCCACAUUGGAACUGAGACACGGUCCAAACUCCUACGGGAGGCAGCAGUGAGGAAUAUUGGUCAAUGGGCGAGAGCCUGAACCAGCCAAGUAGCGUGCAGGAAGACGGCCCUAUGGGUUGUAAACUGCUUUUAUAGGGGAAUAAAGUGAGGUACGUGUACUUUUUUGUAUGUACCCUAUGAAUAAGGACCGGCUAAUUCCGUGCCAGCAGCCGCGGUAAUACGGAAGGUCCGGGCGUUAUCCGGAUUUAUUGGGUUUAAAGGGAGCGUAGGCGGUAUUUUAAGCGUGCAGUGAAAACCAGGUGCUUAACAUCUGACGUGCUGCGCGAACUGGAGUACUUGAGUGAGCGGAACGGAGGCGGAAUUUGUGGUGUAGCGGUGAAAUGCUUAGAUAUCACGAAGAACUCCGAUUGCGAAGGCAGCUUUCGGUAGCUUUACUGACGCUGAUGCUCGAAGGGUGCGGGUAUCGAACAGGAUUAGAUACCCUGGUAGUCCGCACGGUAAACGAUGGACACUCGCUGUUCUGGCAGUUAGUUAGAGCGGCUUAGCGAAAGCGUUAAGUGUCCCACCUGGGGAGUACGCCGGCAACGGUGAAACUCAAAGGAAUUGACGGGGGCCCGCACAAGCGGAGGAACAUGUGGUUUAAUUCGAUGAUACGCGAGGAACCUUACCCGGGCUUGAACUGCAGGAGAAGGAUCUAGAGAUAGUGACGUCCUUCGGGACUCCUGUGGAGGUGCUGCAUGGUUGUCGUCAGCUCGUGCCGUGAGGUGUCGGCUUAAGUGCCAUAACGAGCGCAACCCCUGCCUUUAGUUGCCAUCAGGUCAAGCUGGGCACUCUGGAGGGACUGCCACCGCAAGGUGUGAGGAAGGUUGGGAUGACGUCAAAUCAGCACGGCCCUUACGUCCGGGGCUACACACGUGUUACAAUGGGGCAUACAGCGAGUUGGUGUGUGGCGACGCACAUCUAAUCAUGAAAAUGUCUCGUAGUUCGGAUUGGGGUCUGCAACCCGACCCCAUGAAGCUGGAUUCGCUAGUAAUCGCGCAUCAGCCAUGGCGCGGUGAAUACGUUCCCGGGCCUUGUACACACCGCCCGUCAAGCCAUGAAAGCUGGGGGCGCCUGAAGUCCGUGACCGCGAGGGUCGGCCUAGGGCGAAACCGGUGAUUGGGGCUAAGUCGUAACAAGGUAACCGUA